AUAAAAGGCAUCUUUUCAUUCAUAUUGUUUAUGUAUCUAUGAAUCGUCCAAGAAAUUAAUAAGAUGAUGAUACAUAUUCUCAAGAGUUGAGAAUUUGAGCCAUGUAUCAUUGGUGAUUAAUUUCUAAAUGUUCCUGAUCAAUGGAUCAUCACGAGGACGGUGAUCGAUCCGAUCAGUGCACAGAUCACUUUCCUUCUGGAUGGACGAGACUUGAGUCCACAGUGUAGGGACACUGAAGUGAUAGUGCAGGUGCUUGUCAGAGAAUAAGGGUACUGAGCGUGACCAAGACAAGAAGUCACUUGGAUGUCUAUCCACUCGUCAGUGACUUGCUUGAUGUUGCAGUAGUGUGACUGGUCCUUUGACCU
This 365-nucleotide long non-coding RNA is filed under the name Phoenix dactylifera (date palm). RNAcentral's name for it is "long non-coding RNA (PDAC_LNC014524)". The record is from RNAcentral. Lineage: Eukaryota; Viridiplantae; Streptophyta; Magnoliopsida; Arecales; Arecaceae.